GGACUACCGGGGUAUCUAAUCCCGUUUGCUCCCCUAGCUUUCGUGCCUCAGUGUCAGGUGUUGUCCAGGGACUCGCCUUCGCCACUGGUGUUCCACUUGAUAUCUACGCAUUUCACUGCUACACCAAGUAUUCCAGUCCCCCCUCCAACCCUCCAGCAAGGUAGUUUCCCAUGCCAUUUCGGAGUUAAGCUCCGAGCUUUCACAUGAGACUUACCUCACCACCUACGCACCCUUUACGCCCAGUAAAUCCGAACAACGCUUGGGACCUCUGUAUUACCGCGGCUGCUGGCAC
This 292-nucleotide ribosomal RNA is filed under the name uncultured Verrucomicrobiota bacterium. Its description in RNAcentral is "uncultured Verrucomicrobia bacterium partial 16S ribosomal RNA". Lineage: Bacteria; Pseudomonadati; Verrucomicrobiota. The record is from RNAcentral.